AUGUGGACUGAUGAGCUGCAAAUUUCUAUUUAUAGUGCUUCUUUUCAUGCUAUCUUAGCUAAUGUUGUCCAUAGGGCCUCGAGUAUUGAGUAUGGUUUGGUUUGCAUCUAUGGUUACCCUUACCACCGCCAAACUAAGGCCAUUUGGGAUCAGGUUGCUAAUUUUGUGUAUGAUAAUUUAGGCAAACCUAUUAUCUGCAUGGGUGACUUGAAUGAUAUCAUGUAUGAUAUUGAAAAGUGUAAUGCAAAUGUAAAUUACUAUCGCAUGUCUGCCUUUCGUGCUUUGGUAAAAAAAUGUGGGUUCUUUGACAUUAGUUAUAGUGGUCCAGUUUACACUUGGCGCAAUAGGCAGCAUACGACUAAUCCAAUCUAUCAACGUUUAGAUCAUUGCUUAGUUAAUCCAGAUUGGUGUUCCAUUUAUACAAAUACAAAAGUGCUUAAUUUACCAAUCAUCUUAAUUGAUCAUGUGCCUAUCUUGAUUCCCACUGAGGGCUAG
This 495-nucleotide ribosomal RNA is filed under the name Triticum aestivum (bread wheat). RNAcentral's name for it is "partial small subunit ribosomal RNA". Lineage: Eukaryota; Viridiplantae; Streptophyta; Magnoliopsida; Poales; Poaceae. The record is from RNAcentral.